RNAcentral lists this long non-coding RNA (395 nucleotides) under Malus domestica (apple). RNAcentral's name for it is "long non-coding RNA (MDOM_LNC008140)". Lineage: Eukaryota; Viridiplantae; Streptophyta; Magnoliopsida; Rosales; Rosaceae. The record is from RNAcentral.
GCCGAAAGAGGUGACAGACAAGGUAAGCAGUCAAACUUCCAAGCAAGCAACCCAGGAUCGGAGGUUCGUCUUCGGCUUCCGGUUGAUUGUUCUCCUUUUCCUUGUCUCUCAUUCAGCUGCCAGGAUAAGGAGAAACAAAUGGAGAAGAGGUGAUAUGAGAUACUUUUGCUUUUGAAGAAGUAACUUUCCACAGGCUAAUUCUUGAACUGUGCCGGAGGGUUUUCUGGUUCCCUUCAGAGUAUAAAGCUGACUCAAGAAUUUGAGGGUCAAAACAAGUCCAUCAAAUCUAGAGUAUGUUCGACCUUGAUGAUAUGGGAUACUGUUGCUGUUGACGGAAUAGUGAAUGUGGUAUGGAAAGGUGUCGUGCUGUAGUGAUCUGUUUCAGCUCACCGUUG